RNAcentral lists this small RNA (270 nucleotides) under Pan troglodytes (chimpanzee). RNAcentral's name for it is "retained intron". The record is from RNAcentral. Lineage: Eukaryota; Metazoa; Chordata; Mammalia; Primates; Hominidae.
GGAGGCACAAGAGCCCAACCGUCCCGUUUUUGCCCUGACCUUUGCCCUGGUAGUCCUGGCCUUUCCCGCCUACCUGCUGGGCAUUGACAGCGGGCGACUGCAGGAGAAGCUGACCAGCCGCAAGAUGGACAGCCGCUGGGGCGGGCGCAGCGAGUCCAUCAAUGUGACCCUCAACGUGGAGCAGGCAGCCUACACCCGUGAUGCCCUGGCCAAGGGGCUCUAUGCCCGCCUCUUUGACUUCCUCGUCGAGGCCAUCAACCGUGCUAUGCA